ACCUCACACGAACGAUGCCUCCUCGCCCUCGGCGAAGAACUUGCCCGUCGGCCCGCCCUCCGGCAGCAGCGCCACCUUCACCACGUUACGCGCGCCCUCCUCGGGCGUCAAGAUGCCCGAGUUCAUGGUUAUGUCCGUCUUGACGUAGCCUGGAUGCGUGCAGUUGACGCGCAGUGCGGGGUACCUCCUCGCUAGCAACCUGGAGUAGGCGUUCAUGGCGGCCUUGGCCACCUUGUACGCCGAGUACCCCAUGGGCCACCCGCGCGCCUCCAGCGCGUCGGCCUCGAAGUCCCUGAGAGCAACUCCAAUGGGGCGACCCAUUUCGUCCGCGGCCGUCUGUUUGGGUCGGCGCAGACAGAAAAGGCGGCCCAACGCGCCGACCCAAACGGACGCGCGUCCGUUUUUCGUCCGUGGGCGACCCAUUCCCGGCCCAUUUUUUAG
This 441-nucleotide ribosomal RNA is filed under the name Triticum aestivum (bread wheat). RNAcentral's name for it is "partial small subunit ribosomal RNA". Lineage: Eukaryota; Viridiplantae; Streptophyta; Magnoliopsida; Poales; Poaceae. The record is from RNAcentral.